Molecule: ribosomal RNA, 396 nt
Filed under: uncultured bacterium
Lineage: Bacteria
Description: bacterial SSU rRNA
Rfam family: Bacterial small subunit ribosomal RNA
Source: RNAcentral
AUUAAACGCUGGCGGCAUGCCUUACACAUGCAAGUCGAACGGUAGCGCGGGGCAACCUGGCGACGAGUGGCGAACGGGUGAGUAAAGCAUCGGAACGUGCCCUGGAAUGGGGGAUAACGUAGCGAAAGUUACGCUAAUACCGCAUAUUCUGUGAGCAGGAAAGCAGGGGAUCGCAAGACCUUGCGUUCUGGGAGCGGCCGAUGUCGGAUUAGCUAGUUGGUGGGGUAAAAGUCUACCAAGGCGACGAUCCGUAGCGGGUCUGAGAGGAUGAUCCGCCACACUGGGACUGAGACACGGCCCAGACUCCUACGGGAGGCAGCAGUGGGGAAUUUUGGACAAUGGGCGGAAGCCUGAUCCAGCCAUGCCGCGUGAGUGAAGAAGGCCUCGGUUGUAAGA